UACGGGGGGGGGCAAGCGUUGUUCGGAAUUACUGGGCGUAAAGGGCUCGUAGGCGGCCAACUAAGUCAGACGUGAAAUCCCCAGGCUCAACCUGGGAACUGCGUCUGAUACUGGAUGGCUUGAAUCCGGGAGAGGGAUGCAGAAUUCCAGGUGUAGCGGUGAAAUGCGUAGAUAUCUGGAGGAAUACCGGUGGCGAAGGCGGCAUCCUGGACCGGCAUUGACGCUGAGGAGCGAAAGCGUGGGGAGCAAACAGG
RNAcentral lists this ribosomal RNA (254 nucleotides) under uncultured bacterium. Its description in RNAcentral is "partial 16S ribosomal RNA". It matches the Rfam family "Bacterial small subunit ribosomal RNA", at positions 524 to 776 of the family's 1533-position model. The record is from RNAcentral.